CCUACGGGUGACUGCAGUGAGGAAUAUUGGUCAAUGGGCGCGAGCCUGAACCAGCCAAGUAGCGUGAAGGAUGACUGCCCUACGGGUUGUAAACUUCUUUUAUAAAGGAAUAAAGUGAGGCACGUGUGCCUUUUUGUAUGUACUUUAUGAAUAAGGAUCGGCUAACUCCGUGCCAGCAGCCGCGGUAAUUCGGAGGAUUCGAGCGUUAUCCGGAUUUAUUGGGGUUAAAGGGAGCGUAGAUGGGUUGUUAAGUCAGUUGUGAAAGUUUGCGGUUCAACCGUAAAAUUGCAAUUGAUACUGGCGGUCUUGAGUACAGUUGAGGUAGGCGGAAUUCGUGGUGUAGCGGUGAAAUGCUUAGAUAUCACGAAGAACUCCGAUUGCGAAGGCAGCUUACUAAACUGCCACUGACAUUGAUGCUCGAAAGUGUGGGUAUCAAACAGGAUUAGAUACCCGUGUAGUC
RNAcentral lists this ribosomal RNA (460 nucleotides) under uncultured bacterium. RNAcentral describes it as "partial 16S ribosomal RNA". It matches the Rfam family "Bacterial small subunit ribosomal RNA", at positions 338 to 795 of the family's 1533-position model. The record is from RNAcentral.